Molecule: ribosomal RNA, 353 nt
Filed under: uncultured bacterium
Lineage: Bacteria
Description: partial 16S ribosomal RNA
Rfam family: Bacterial small subunit ribosomal RNA
Source: RNAcentral
CCUACGGGAGGCAGCAGUAGGGAAUAUUGCUCAAUGGGGGAAACCCUGAAGCAGCAACGCCGCGUGGAGGAUGAAGGUUUUCGGAUUGUAAACUCCUUUUGUUAGAGAAGAUAAUGACGGUAUCUAACGAAUAAGCCCCGGCUAACUCCGUGCCAGCAGCCGCGGUACUACGGAGGGUGCAAGGGUUACUCGGAAUCACUGGGCGUAAAGAGCGCGUAGGCGGGAUAGCAAGUCAGAUGUGAAAUCCUAUGGCUUAACCAUAGAACUGCAUUUGAAACUGGUAUACUAGAGUGUGGGAGAGGUAGGUGGAAUUCUUGGUGUAGGGGUAAAAUCCGUAGAGAUCUAGAGGAAUA